Molecule: long non-coding RNA, 1173 nt
Organism: Melospiza melodia melodia
Lineage: Eukaryota; Metazoa; Chordata; Aves; Passeriformes; Passerellidae
Exons: 4
Source: RefSeq, a predicted model, not a curated record
AUGUGUAGGAUAUAUACAAAGAUACAUACUUGAAAGUCCGUAGAGGAAACAAAUUUUUACGCCUUCUGUUUGACUGUUUGUCAUAUAUUUGGUUUUAUUUCCCAGGGAUCAGUGAAUUUUAACUCUGGAGUCCUCUAUGCUAAGGAUGCUCAGCUUACAGAUGAUGAAAUGUUCAGUAAUGUAUUUGCUGGAGCUGUGCUUACCCAAGGUUUGGGUAAAACAAGCUUUGGGUUCCUUCUGUCUCACUGGGAGUUGCCCAAUUCAGUUGCAUCUGGUGAAAUUCACCCUGAGACCUUACAGAACUAGCUCCAACUACGUGAGAGCCAUUUGCAGUUCUCUCCAGACACCUGGAGAAUGGGCGACGUUUCUGAGGAUCCGGCGAGCAUGCUUCUGUCAAAACUCAGUCUGUGAAAUUUCUGGGGAAAACACUUCUGUGUCCUGAAGGGUUCAAACUCUGGUGAGGAUCCAGUUAUCAGGUGCUCACCUGGAUGGUUCCAGCUCCCAAAGGGAAAGGCUCUCGUAUCCUUGUCGUCGGGCUCGGUGCUGUCCAAGAAGAUACAGAGACUAAAAAAAUCAUAAGAAGCAAAAUAUGACUGCAGGGAAAAGAAGCUGGAGAGAACAGAAGGGGCUGUUUCCAAAGUGACCUACAGACAUUGGAAUGAAAUCAUUAUUUACUGUGUAAAAGAAUCACUCUCCAAAGCAUCAGCCAGGGUCUAAAUGUGCCAUUCUGCCUUUUAAAAGUACCAACAUCACAGGAUUUUUCUCAGAUUAAAGCUUCCAUGGAGUCGGAUCUCUCAAGCCUGGCCCUUGAGAAUUGUGGGCCUCCUGUGAACUGGUCUUGCCAGAAGGGCUUGCUGAGUUUUCCAUUGUGUGGAAAAGAGAUCCCAUUUGCAGCCUGAAGCCUCAUGUUUCCUGUAGGAUUUCCACUCCUAGAAUUGCACACUUUGAAGGAUUUCUUAUAGCAGAAGUUUUUUGGGAACUAGGACUCUGGCUGGAUUUGGGUCUCUGGACUCUCAGGUGAAGUGACCUUGAGACACUAGGGCGUGCAGAUUUCCUUGCUGUUGUAAAGAGCUAUUGUUCGCACCCAGGAGCCAUGGUCUGAAUGGGGGUGUCACCUCUUAAAUUUGCAAAUGUCACAGGAUUUCUUCUAAAUGAAUGGUGCUAAGAACAUAA